Molecule: transfer RNA, 71 nt
Filed under: Bos taurus (domestic cattle)
Lineage: Eukaryota; Metazoa; Chordata; Mammalia; Artiodactyla; Bovidae
Also listed under: 4 other names
Rfam family: tRNA
About the family: Transfer RNA (tRNA) molecules are approximately 80 nucleotides in length.
Source: Rfam by way of RNAcentral
UCCCAGGUGGCUCAGUGGUAAAGAAUCCGCUUGCAAGGCAGGAGACCCAGGUUCAAUCCCUGGGUUGGAAA